CAGCCGCCACGGUAAUACGUAGGUGGCAAGCGUUGUCCGGAAUUAUUGGGCGUAAAGGGCUCGCAGGCGGUUUCUUAAGUCUGAUGUGAAAGCCCCCGGCUCAACCGGGGAGGGUCAUUGGAAACUGGGAAACUUGAGUGCAGAAGAGGAGAGUGGAAUUCCGCGUGUAGCGGUGAAAUGCGUAGAGAUGUGGAGGAACACCAGUGGCGAAGGCGACUCUCUGGUCCUUGACUGACGCUGAGGCGCGAAAGCUAGGGGAGCAAAUGGGAUUAGAGACCCCUGUAGUCCCUGUCUCUUAUAC
Molecule: ribosomal RNA, 301 nt
Filed under: uncultured bacterium
Lineage: Bacteria
Description: partial 16S ribosomal RNA
Rfam family: Bacterial small subunit ribosomal RNA
Source: RNAcentral